AGGCACCCUUCUGGGGCAAGACUUGCUUCAGUGGGGCUUUGGUGCUCACUGAGUCUGCCCCCUGAGUGUGUCCCU
RNAcentral lists this microRNA precursor (75 nucleotides) under Myotis myotis. Its description in RNAcentral is "mir-9229 microRNA precursor family". It matches the Rfam family "mir-9229 microRNA precursor family". The record is from Rfam by way of RNAcentral. RNAcentral also lists the same sequence under 1 other name. Lineage: Eukaryota; Metazoa; Chordata; Mammalia; Chiroptera; Vespertilionidae.